Macaca mulatta (Rhesus monkey) is the source of this 1866-nucleotide long non-coding RNA. NCBI's taxonomy places the organism in Eukaryota, Metazoa, Chordata, Mammalia, Primates, Cercopithecidae. The record is from Ensembl.
UACAAACAUAAGUGACUGGAUAUUUUUUUAAAAAGCAUUUCACCAAGAGAUUUCUGGAAUUAACUUAUUGUGUGACCUUCAGAAGUCCUUUAACUAUUUUGAGGCUUUGUUUCUUCAUCUAUGAAAUAAGGGGAUUGGAGUCAAUAACGCUUUACAGUCUUAUCAGCUCUUGAUAUUCUCUGAGCAUAUGCUUCUGCUAGCUAGGAGAAUAUCAACGUAAUGGGACACUGUAAUGUAUUAAUUUCUUUGCUCUGGUGGCUGAAGGAGAAUCUCAGGAAAAACAAAUAAGUAGAAUGGACAAACUUGUUUUGUGUUGUUCGGGCCUCAUUUGUCUUAAGGUAUACUAAUGGAUUUUAUGUUUCAGAGUAUCAAAGAAGUUAACAGCACCCCUGAAGAUUAUCCUCAACCAAGCUUAUAUAUAGUAAAAGCCAUUGGCUCAUUGACAAUAAUUCAUCAAAGUAUAGAAGAGGAAAAGAUGUAUUGAGAAGUAUUGAUGCUUUGAGUUUAAUGAAGAAGUUCCCCAAGAUGAAGAGAGAUGAAAUUUGAGAGUGGGGAUGGAUUUCCUGAUUGACAGGGACCUGUUCAGUUGCAGUACCUAUGGUGAGACAGAAAACGUAGAGAAUGGUGGAGUGUUAUUUCUGGUGGGAUAAAGCUCCAGAACAAUUUCAGAAGAGUCAUUAUGUUCUUCUGUCCUGGUACCUAAGGAGAAAUGCUUUCACCAGGGAAUCCAGAUGUUCCAUUAAGAGAAGCCAUGACAAAAGCUGCAGAGUGAAAGCAAUGGAGAUGAGAAUGGCACAGAAAAAAAGCUACGUCCUAGAACUGCCCUCGGAAAUGAUUAAGAUAAAUUCCUUUUUGGCCUAAUACACUAAGGAAAGGGGGAAAUUGACAUUCAGGUUACUUUUUAAAUGAAAUUUUUAUUACAUUCUUUAAUACAAAGUUUUAUAAGUCCGGGAUUAUGCAUGUUCUUCAGUAAAAUAAGCAUCACAUUUAUAAUACUUAUGUUUAACAUAUUUUGAAUGAAUUAGAUUCUAUACGAUAAGACAAUUUUAUUUCACCUACAGUCUUUUCACACACUCCUCCUGAAUAUAAUCCCCAAAACACAUGUUUUUCUUUCACUUUCUGGUUCCCCAUUUUCUCUCCUUAUUUGCUGUUUUAUCCCCUUUGGUAUGACAGGGCAAGUUUCAGGAGGUCAAUGAAGAUAUAGGGAAGGUUUUCAGAUGAUUGGUUUCAUGUAAUUGGGUCAUGUAGUAAUCUAUAUUUGGUAGAUUCAAAACUUCUUGAGCUUUCCCUUAGGUGGUGCUUAUGUGGGUUUCCUAAAAAAUUUGUUUGCUGUGCAUUUCAGCAGUUCACACUGUCAAGUAAAAAAUUUUCCUUCUGAUUGGCCAUUUUCUCCUACAACCCCUGGUUGGUCCUCUGUUUGCAUAUCCUGGACUCUUCAGGCAUAACUAUUGGACAGCGAUGGCUCAGUCUAACUCCAUUGUGCUAGGUUCACAGGAGAGUUAUAGGCAUCCUUACCCCAUCAGUUUCUGCGGGUGUCAGCUAUCCCUGCUCUGCUGCCCACAGUAGCGACUCUAGUCAUUAUUGCUCACCUUUGACUUGUGUAGUUGGAGCCAGUAUCCCCUGAGUUCCACGACCUCAGAGCAAAUCCUUUCAGUGUUUAUUUUGAAGACCCUCAAUUGGCUUGAUACAGAUAAAAACACUUCUUCUCAUUCCCCAUGAGUUAGAGUUGAGAAAGAAAAUACAAGGCAAGCCAUCACCUCUCUUUACAAACUUUAAAAACUUUUCUUGAUUCCAUAAAUAAUUCACAUACACCUGGAUCUACAUAUUCAUAUAUACAUAUAUGUAUAUGUAAAUACAUACACAAAC